GAUGAACGCUGGCGGCGUGCUUAACACAUGCGAGUCGAACGGUGAAGGCGGAGCUUGCUCUGCUGGAUCAGUGGCGAACGGGUGAGUAACACGUGAGCAAUCUGCCCCUGACUCUGGGAUAAGCGCUGGAAACGGCGUCUAAUACUGGAUACGAGCUGCGAAGGCAUCUUCAGCAGCUGGAAAGAAUUUCGGUCAGGGAUGAGCUCGCGGCCUAUCAGCUUGUUGGUGAGGUAAUGGCUCACCAAGGCGUCGACGGGUAGCCGGCCUGAGAGGGUGACCGGCCACACUGGGACUGAGACACGGCCCAGACUCCUACGGGAGGCAGCAGUGGGGAAUAUUGCACAAUGGGCGAAAGCCUGAUGCAGCAACGCCGCGUGAGGGACGACGGCCUUCGGGUUGUAAACCUCUUUUAGCAGGGAAGAAGCGAAAGUGACGGUACCUGCAGAAAAAGCGCCGGCUAACUACGUG
RNAcentral lists this ribosomal RNA (468 nucleotides) under uncultured bacterium. RNAcentral describes it as "partial 16S ribosomal RNA". It matches the Rfam family "Bacterial small subunit ribosomal RNA", at positions 28 to 507 of the family's 1533-position model. The record is from RNAcentral.